Molecule: ribosomal RNA, 252 nt
Filed under: uncultured bacterium
Lineage: Bacteria
Description: partial 16S ribosomal RNA
Rfam family: Bacterial small subunit ribosomal RNA
Source: RNAcentral
UACGUAGGGGGCAAGCGUUGUCCGGAUUUAUUGGGCGUAAAGAGCGUGUAGGCGGCCAUGCAGGUCCGCUGUGAAAACUCGAGGCUCAGCCUCGAGAGGUCGGUGGAAACCGCAUGGCUAGAGUCCGGAAGAGGAGAGUGGAAUUCCGGUGUAGCGGUGAAAUGCGCAGAUAUCGGGAAGAACACCCGUGGCGAAGGCGGCUCUCUGGGACGGUACUGACGCUGAGACGCGAAAGCGUGGGGAGCGAACAGG